UACGUAGGGGGCAAGCGUUGUCCGGAAUCAUUGGGCGUAAAGCGCGUGUAGGCGGUUCAGUAAGUCUGCUGUGAAAGUCCAGGGCUCAACCCUGGGAUGCCGGUGGAUACUGCUGGGCUAGAGUACGGAAGAGGCGAGUGGAAUUCCCGGUGUAGCGGUGAAAUGCGCAGAUAUCAGGAAGAACACCCGUGGCUAAGGCGGUUCUCUAGUACGGUACUGACGCUGAGACGCGAAAGCGUGGGGAGCGAACAGG
This 253-nucleotide ribosomal RNA is filed under the name uncultured bacterium. RNAcentral describes it as "partial 16S ribosomal RNA". It matches the Rfam family "Bacterial small subunit ribosomal RNA", at positions 524 to 776 of the family's 1533-position model. The record is from RNAcentral.